AUGAACGCUGGCGGCGUGCCUAAUACAUGCAAGUCGAGCGAACAGACGAGGAGCUUGCUCCUCAGACGUUAGCGGCGGACGGGUGAGUAACAUGUGGAUAACCUACCUAUAAGACUGGGAUAACUUCGGGAAACCGGAGCUAAUACCGGAUAAUAUAUUGAACCGCAUGGUUCAAUAGUGAAAGACGGUUUUGCUGUCACUUAUAGAUGGAUCCGCGCCGCAUUAGCUAGUUGGUAAGGUAACGGCUUACCAAGGCAACGAUGCGUAGCCGACCUGAGAGGGUGAUCGGCCACACUGGAACUGAGACACGGUCCAGACUCCUACGGGAGGCAGCAGUAGGGAAUCUUCCGCAAUGGGCGAAAGCCUGACGGAGCAACGCCGCGUGAGUGAUGAAGGUCUUCGGAUCGUAAAACUCUGUUAUUAGGGAAGAACAAAUGUGUAAGUAACUAUGCACGUCUUGACGGUACCUAAUCAGAAAGCCACGGCUAACUACGUG
RNAcentral lists this ribosomal RNA (496 nucleotides) under uncultured bacterium. Its description in RNAcentral is "partial 16S ribosomal RNA". It matches the Rfam family "Bacterial small subunit ribosomal RNA", at positions 29 to 507 of the family's 1533-position model. The record is from RNAcentral.